UGCACCGAAGCUGCGGCAGCGACACUCAGGUGUUGUUGGGUAGGGGAGCGUUCUGUAAGCCUGCGAAGGUGGCCUGUGAGGGUUGCUGGAGGUAUCAGAAGUGCGAAUGCUGACAUAAGUAACGAUAAAGCGGGUGAAAAGCCCGCUCGCCGGAAGACCAAGGGUUCCUGUCCAACGUUAAUCGGGGCAGGGUGAGUCGACCCCUAAGGCGAGGCCGAAAGGCGUAGUCGAUGGGAAACGGGUUAAUAUUCCCGUACUUGGUGUUACUGCGAAGGGGGGACGGAGAAGGCUAUGUUGGCCGGGCGACGGUUGUCCCGGUUUAAGCGUGUAGGUGUGUGUUCCAGGUAAAUCCGGUUCACUUUAACACUGAGGCGUGAUGACGAGGCACUACGGUGCUGAAGCAACAAAUGCCCUGCUUCCAGGAAAAGCCUCUAAGCAUCAGGUAACAUCAAAUCGUACCCCAAACCGACACAGGUGGUCAGGUAGAGAAUACCAAGGCGCUUGAGAGAACUCGGGUGAAGGAACUAGGCAAAAUGGUGCCGUAACUUCGGGAGAAGGCACGCUGACAUGUAGGUGAAGUGAUUUACUCAUGGAGCUGAAGUCAGUCGAAGAUACCAGCUGGCUGCAACUGUUUAUUAAAAACACAGCACUGUGCAAACACGAAAGUGGACGUAUACGGUGUGACGCCUGCCCGGUGCCGGAAGGUUAAUUGAUGGGGUCAGCGCAAGCGAAGCUCCUGAUCGAAGCCCCGGUAAACGGCGGCCGUAACUAUAACGGUCCUAAGGUAGCGAAAUUCCUUGUCGGGUAAGUUCCGACCUGCACGAAUGGCGUAAUGAUGGCCAGGCUGUCUCCACCCGAGACUCAGUGAAAUUGAACUCGCUGUGAAGAUGCAGUGUACCCGCGGCAAGACGGAAAGACCCCGUGAACCUUUACUAUAGCUUGACACUGAACAUUGAGCCUUGAUGUGUAGGAUAGGUGGGAGGCUUUGAAGCGUGGACGCCAGUCUGCGUGGAGCCGACCUUGAAAUACCACCCUUUAAUGUUUGAUGUUCUAACGUGGACCCGU
RNAcentral lists this ribosomal RNA (1065 nucleotides) under Salmonella enterica. Its description in RNAcentral is "partial 23S ribosomal RNA". It matches the Rfam family "Bacterial large subunit ribosomal RNA", at positions 1190 to 2236 of the family's 2925-position model. Lineage: Bacteria; Pseudomonadati; Pseudomonadota; Gammaproteobacteria; Enterobacterales; Enterobacteriaceae. The record is from RNAcentral.